CAGAUGAUGACCAUGCCAUGUGUGAUAUCUGAGCCUGUCAAAAGCAAGUGUUUUAACGCUGACG
This 64-nucleotide small nucleolar RNA is filed under the name Euglena gracilis. RNAcentral's name for it is "Eg-m160 box C/D methylation-guide". The record is from RNAcentral. Lineage: Eukaryota; Euglenozoa; Euglenophyceae; Euglenales; Euglenaceae.